GCGUAAAGCGCGCGCAGGCGGUUUCUUAAGUCUGAUGUGAAAGCCCACGGCUCAACCGUGGAGGGUCAUUGGAAACUGGGGAACUUGAGUGCAGAAGAGAAAAGCGGAAUUCCACGUGUAGCGGUGAAAUGCGUAGAGAUGUGGAGGAACACCAGUGGCGAAGGCGGCUUUUUGGUCUGUAACUGACGCUGAGGCGCGAAAGCGUGGGGAGCAAACAGGAUUAGAUACCCUGGUAGUCCACGCCGUAAACGAUGAGUGCUAAGUGUUAGAGGCUUUCCGCCCUUUAGUGCUGCACUUAACGCAUUAAGCACUCGGCUGGGGGAGUCCGGCCGCAAGACUGA
Molecule: ribosomal RNA, 341 nt
Filed under: Priestia aryabhattai
Lineage: Bacteria; Bacillati; Bacillota; Bacilli; Caryophanales; Bacillaceae
Description: bacterial SSU rRNA
Rfam family: Bacterial small subunit ribosomal RNA
Source: RNAcentral